ACACGUGGGUAACCUACCUGUAAGACUGGGAUAACUCCGGGAAACCGGAGCUAAUACCGGAUAGUUCCUUGAACCGCAUGGUUCAAGGAUGAAAGACGGUUUCGGCUGUCACUUACAGAUGGACCCGCGGCGCAUUAGCUAGUUGGUGAGGUAACGGCUCACCAAGGCGACGAUGCGUAGCCGACCUGAGAGGGUGAUCGGCCACACUGGGACUGAGACACGGCCCAGACUCCUACGGGAGGCAGCAGUAGGGAAUCUUCCGCAAUGGACGAAAGUCUGACGGAGCAACGCCGCGUGAGUGAUGAAGGUUUUCGGAUCGUAAAGCUCUGUUGUUAGGGAAGAACAAGUGCAAGAGUAACUGCUUGCACCUUGACGGUACCUAACCAGAAAGCCACGGCUAACUACGUGCCAGCAGCCGCGGUAAUACGUAGGUGGCAAGCGUUGUCCGGAAUUAUUGGGCGUAAAGGGCUCGCAGGCGGUUUCUUAAGUCUGAUGUGAAAGCCCCCGGCUCAACCGGGGAGGGUCAUUGGAAACUGGGAAACUUGAGUGCAGAAGAGGAGAGUGGAAUUCCACGUGUAGCGGUGAAAUGCGUAUAGAUGUGGAGGAACACCAGUGGCGAAGGCGACUCUCUGGUCUGUAACUGACGCUGAGGAGCGAA
RNAcentral lists this ribosomal RNA (658 nucleotides) under Bacillus altitudinis 41KF2b. Its description in RNAcentral is "bacterial SSU rRNA". It matches the Rfam family "Bacterial small subunit ribosomal RNA", at positions 113 to 757 of the family's 1533-position model. Lineage: Bacteria; Bacillati; Bacillota; Bacilli; Caryophanales; Bacillaceae. The record is from RNAcentral.